Molecule: ribosomal RNA, 823 nt
Filed under: uncultured organism
Description: bacterial SSU rRNA
Rfam family: Bacterial small subunit ribosomal RNA
Source: RNAcentral
AUCUAUGGUGGCGACCGGCGCACGGGUGCGUAACGCGUAUGCAACCUACCUUUAACAGGGGGAUAACACUGAGAAAUUGGUACUAAUACCCCAUAAUAUCAUAGAAGGCAUCUUUUAUGGUUGAAAAUUCCGAUGGUUAGAGAUGGGCAUGCGUUGUAUUAGCUAGUUGGUGGGGUAACGGCUCACCAAGGCGACGAUACAUAGGGGGACUGAGAGGUUAACCCCCCACACUGGUACUGAGACACGGACCAGACUCCUACGGGAGGCAGCAGUGAGGAAUAUUGGUCAAUGGACGCAAGUCUGAACCAGCCAUGCCGCGUGCAGGAUGACGGCUCUAUGAGUUGUAAACUGCUUUUGUACGAGGGUAAACGCAGAUACGUGUAUCUGUCUGAAAGUAUCGUACGAAUAAGGAUCGGCUAACUCCGUGCCAGCAGCCGCGGUAAUACGGAGGAUUCAAGCGUUAUCCGGAUUUAUUGGGUUUAAAGGGUGCGUAGGCGGUUUGAUAAGUUAGAGGUGAAAUUUCGGGGCUCAACCCUGAACGUGCCUCUAAUACUGUUGAGCUAGAGAGUAGUUGCGGUAGGCGGAAUGUAUGGUGUAGCGGUGAAAUGCUAGAGAUCAUACAGAACACCGAUUGCGAAGGCAGCUUACCAAACUAUAUCUGACGUUGAGGCACGAAAGCGUGGGGAGCAAACAGGAUUAGAUACCCUGGUAGUCCACGCAGUAAACGAUGAUAACUCGUUGUCGGCGAUACACAGUCGGUGACUAAGCGAAAGCGAUAAGUUAUCCACCUGGGGAGUACGUUCGCAAGAAUGCAACUCAAAUG